UACGGAGGAGGCAAGCGUUAUCCGGAAUUAUUGGGCGUAAUGCGUCCGUAGGUGGUUGGCCAAGUCUGCUGUCAAAGGGUGGGGCUUAACCUCAUAAAGGCAGUGGAAACUGGCGAGCUAGAGAGCGGUAGGGGUAGGGGGAAUUCCCAGUGUAGCGGUGAAAUGCGUAGAGAUUGGGAAGAACAUCGGUGGCGAAAGCGCCCUGCUGGGCCUGCACUGACACUGAGGGACGAAAGUUAGGGGAGCGAAAGGG
This 253-nucleotide ribosomal RNA is filed under the name uncultured bacterium. RNAcentral describes it as "partial 16S ribosomal RNA". It matches the Rfam family "Bacterial small subunit ribosomal RNA", at positions 524 to 776 of the family's 1533-position model. The record is from RNAcentral.